UGAACGGCUCCCCAGGGAAUGCUCAUAUCCCCAGGCUGCCAGAGCUCCAGCAGCAUUUGUUCAACAGUCUCAGGCACAAGGUGGGAUUGUUGGGGUGUCUGUGCAGGGCCAGGAGUUGGACUCGAUGAUCCCUGUAGGUCCCUUCCAACUCGGGAUAUUCCAUAAUUCUACAAUACUUGAACCUGUGGAAAGGCACAUUCUGGAGCCCAUGUUUGGCAGGGAUGCAGGAACAAACAUUUACCUUGGUGGUGGUAUUUUAUUCCCUGGCUUCUGAUUGGCACAGGCUGGUUGUGCAUUUUGGUGACAGGCCCAAGGAGUGGGUCCCUGGUGACCCUUUGCAGUUUGCAGGAGCCACUGCUGGGCUGUGUGCAGGGUGACUGAGCCCUUCAGGUGCCUUGCUCUCCUCAGCCCACGGCCCUGGGCAGUGUCCCUCCCUAGCAGACUGAGCACACAGUCCCCCAUGCCAGCUCACAGCCCUGGGCAGCUGGAAAGACCAGGAUUGACCUGAUGCCUGCACAAAGGUCUUCAGCUGCUUUUUGUGCUCCCAUUUCCCUCUUCAGCUGCCUCUCACCAUGGCUGCCUGCUUGGCUCUGGCUGUGCUGUUCUCUCAGAGAGGGUCCCUGUGUCAGCCAGCAACCAACUCAUCUGCCUCAAACUCUCUUUGGAAGGAUGGGCCACAAAGACUCUGAACACUCACUGUUUACCCGCUUCAGGCAUACAGACCUUUCCUGUGGGGACAUCCUGGCAGGAAAGGACUCUCCUGUACUGAUGGAGUUUGUUGUGCAGCACCACGGUUUCCACAGGAGGACAACUCUGCCACAGCCAUAACUGAGAUAAGUUGAGAGAGCUGAGGCUGUUCAGUCUGGAAAAGAGAAAGUUUCAGUAUCUGAAGGGGGCUACGAGGAAGCUCAGGAACUGAACUUUUCAUCAGGAACUGGAUAGAUGUGGAGGCUUGGCUGCAGAAGAAAGGACAUGGACUUUUGCAGGGGGUGCAUAACCCAGGCCUGAAGCUAGCAGAUAGUCCUUGAAUUGCCCUUGGACACGAGAUAAGAGGAAGUUGGCUGGUUACACCAUGAUAGCAGGAUGUGCCAGCAGGAUAUCUGUAAACCGCAAGGCAGAAAUAUUGCAGAAGUAAGCAGGAGUGUGAACAGCUGGCUUGUAGCAAUCAUAACACUAGUUAGGGUGCGUGAACAGCCACUUGUAACCAAUAAUAUGUAAGCCUAAGCCGCGUGAACAGUCGACAAUGGUAUAUAAGAGCAUGCCAAUUAGCAAUAAAGGGAACAAGAUGUAUACCUCA
Haemorhous mexicanus (house finch) is the source of this 1297-nucleotide long non-coding RNA. RefSeq lists it as uncharacterized. NCBI's taxonomy places the organism in Eukaryota, Metazoa, Chordata, Aves, Passeriformes, Fringillidae. The transcript is spliced from 2 exons. The record is from RefSeq and is a predicted model, not a curated record.